CCCUUCCUUCCUUCAAGGAGAAGGUGCCCUCGGUCACCGACGGGAAGAUGAAGCCUUUCAUCGGGUCACAGGAUGGCUGGUGGAGAACCUUGUGCUUGCAGAAGUGUGCCCCGGAGGAGAGAAGCAAGCAGAUGGUACCUCCGGCUCCAAAGCUUUUCCCAGAUUGUAACCCACUCCUUGAAAGUGCUUGCAGGCUUUCCCUGGAGGAUGUCGUCUACAAAUAUAAUAAGCACCACCUUCAUCUUUUUGUGCCCUUCUGGAAUAAUAUCCAAUGUCCCUGUGUCAACGAAACCUAUUCAGUUUCUCUACUAACUUUGACAACUUUGCUGCUGGUACUUUGAAGAUCAUCCGGUGACUUUUGCAGAGUAUCUGAACAGUGGGAUACAGGAACCCUUGGAGCGGUGGUAAUAACCUUUGUGAAGAUAGCCCUGCACCAUCCUUGUUCCCUAAUAUAGCAGCACCAAUCAGAGCAUCAAAUCCCUCCCAGGCUCUUCACACUGAACUGGCAGCAGAGCCUGCCUCUUUGGAGGGCACCCCCGUGAGCAGUUUGAGAGCAGCUGGUGCACUCCAGAAGCAAAUUCUGCCUUUGUUUCCAUCCAAAAGGAAUCUAAUUCAUGUGCCCCAGAAGAUGAACCAGAGCAUGACCAUCGGGAGAUUCGCUUUGAAAGGAUUUGUUUGACCCAAACAGAAAGGGUAAUGUAGACACACCACUAAACUGCUGUCGAAAUGAAGAUCAGACUGGCGUAUGAUCCCCCGAAAGCCCCUUCAGUAGAGUAUUGGAAACAAUGUGACAAAAUCUCAAAACUCUGUGACAGCGACACUUCGCAAGCAAUUUAAGGUGGUGAAUGCUCUGGCAUCUUGUGGAAAACUUGCACAACUUUCACAAUUAGAUCUUCAAGGAUCACACUGAAUGGUGAUUGGCAAGUAAUCCUCCUCCGAAGCUACUGGGAAGCUGCAAUGUUGCUCCACAGAGCCUGUUUCAGCUCAGCAGCAGCACACCAGGUACUCCCUACCAUCGCUCACAGCAUACCUUCUGGGUUUGCCGACGUCUCCUGCUCUCCUGCACUCUUCACCCUGCUCAUCUGAGAGUCUGGGGAACUGGGAGCCCACCUUGAUGACCACAGGCCUGGUGUCCUUGCCUUCCUCUCUGCACAGGAAAAAUAAAAAGGUUUUAUUGCUCCAGUGGAUACCUCAGUAACUGCUGAGACAGGGCUCCAGAUUCCUCUCAUCGGAGAUAGGAGAGAAGAUAUUUAAACAGACAGACAUUUAAAACAACACCACCACCAGCAGCAGCAACAACAACAUCUGCUCUCUAAUGCGAUACAGAAGGCCUGCUAGUUGCUCUGGUUUCCUUACAUUUUAAUGCAGGAGAGGGAAGGGAGUCCAGGCUCUGCUAUUGCCUGUGCCAGCAGCACAGGUGUGUGGAAAUCAACUUUCCUGUAAGAAAAGAAGCAAUCUGUGGGACAAAGCAGGGAAAACAAAAAUAUACUACCCACAAAACAUGUAAUGUUUCUAGGAAACUGAAAGUGACAGUAUCAAUUCAGAUAGCAACUUCUCUUUGUAAAAUAACACCCUUUAAUAGCAAAGGAAUAGGACCAUCGGCUUUACAGCGCGGGGGAGGGAAGAAAAAAAGGCUUUACAAAGUCUGUUGUCCAAGGGAAAAAUGUCAUCUUGGCUUCUUCAAAGGUCAUCCUUGCAGAGCUUGUUAUCAACAGACAGCUUUCUAAAAAUAAUGCAGCAAGUAGGAUCGCUAUCAGAGACAGGUAGAAAAUAACCCUGACAUUAGUCUAUCCUGCUCAGAAAGUCUAAGUGUGCUAAAUUUAUUGUGCCAUUGGAAGUGGUGAGGUUUUUUUCCUGAAGCAAUAUUGAGAAUGUGAUAAACCUGAAUCUAAAAGGGGCUUAUAUUUGCCAAUUUUCAUUCUGCAUGGACGAUCGCUUCUAUCUACAAAAGAGGAGUCAAAACCUGUAACGAUUAACAACUUGCUUGGCCUCACUGUUAGGAAUCCUGUGCUUUUUUUGUUUUUUUCCCUCUCCAUUCCACUGAUAUUUUAAACAAAAUCAGGUCCACAAGACAACAGGAAAAAAUAUGAAGGGACUAGUAGUGCCCUUGCCUCUCAGGUGCUGAUAUUUUGAUAGCUACAAUAUGUUUACCGUUGCCUGAACAUUUUCAAUUGAAAAGUCUGAUCUUUUGUAAGAAGCUACAUAGCUUCAGCUCCUGCCAAUUUCAGCUGAAUUUUAUGAUAUGUGUAUUAACAAAUCCAUAGUAGGCAAACAACAGCUACACAGGCAUGAUCGUGAGAAUGGUAGAAGAACCCGGGCAGGUAAGUUAUUGAAACGCGGAUUAACUCCUGUUUGUCUGGGCUAUAGCUGCUUCCAACAGCUGCUAGUCACAGACCUCUCAAACACUGCCUGCACUGAGGUUAUGUUUCUCAGCCUGCUUUCCAUUAAAAAAAAAGAAAAAGAAAAAGAAAAAAACCCACCACUUAUUUGGUUGUAAAUGGAAACCCACUGUGGCAACACACUUUGAAAUAGUCCAAGGAUUAAUUUCAGAAGGUAAAAAUCAAUCUUUCAAUUAAAAGGAUUGAGAACUGCAAGGGCAUUAUACCUGUUAUACACAAAGGCUGUAAGUAAAAAUCCAAAUGCUAGGUAGCCUGACAGCUAAGGAAAGACUGUUUUAGAACUUUGCAUUCGUUGUUGCUCCAAGGCAAAAUAUAUCUGAUUUUCAAAUAAAAGAACUGUAUUAAAAAUGACAUAGUCAAUACAGCCUAUAACCUCUGCUGGGAUAAUACUGCUGUGUUCGAACUCACAGCAGAGGGAAAGACACUGCUAGCUGUCAUAAGCAAGUUUCUUCCCAUAUAAAGCAUAUAGUUCAUCUAUUUCGAAUGCAAAAUUUUAUACUUCUGCUUUAUCACCUACUAACUACCAUUCAAGCAGGCUCCUAUUGUGAAUUCCAGUAAGUACAAAGCUGCUGUCUGAUUAUAGUAGUAUGUGUUGUGUAUACAUAGAAAUUGUAUUCAGAAAGGUACAUUUUUAAUAUACAUAAGUCAUUUCCUUGGUUUGUGUAUUUUUGUGAAGUUAAGAUCUUGUGUGCCUUGUCUGGCAUUAAGUAAAUAAAGUGCACUGAUAAGUAU
This is a long non-coding RNA of Dromaius novaehollandiae (emu), 3131 nucleotides long. RefSeq lists it as uncharacterized. The transcript is spliced from 6 exons. The record is from RefSeq and is a predicted model, not a curated record. Lineage: Eukaryota; Metazoa; Chordata; Aves; Casuariiformes; Dromaiidae.